Molecule: ribosomal RNA, 301 nt
Filed under: uncultured bacterium
Lineage: Bacteria
Description: partial 16S ribosomal RNA
Rfam family: Bacterial small subunit ribosomal RNA
Source: RNAcentral
CAGCCGCCGCGGUAAUACGUAGGGUGCGAGCGUUAAUCGGAAUUACUGGGCGUAAAGGGCUCGCAGGCGGUUUCUUAAGUCUGAUGUGAAAGCCCCCGGCUCAACCGGGGAGGGUCAUUGGAAACUGGGAAACUUGAGUGCAGAAGAGGAGAGUGGAAUUCCACGUGUAGCGGUGAAAUGCGUAGAUAUCGGAAGGAACACCUGUGGCGAAAGCGGCUCACUGGACCAUUUCUGACGCUGAUGCACGAAAGCUAGGGGAGCAAACAGGAUUAGAUACCCCCGUAGUCCCUGUCUCUUAUAC